This 747-nucleotide ribosomal RNA is filed under the name Triticum aestivum (bread wheat). Its description in RNAcentral is "partial small subunit ribosomal RNA". Lineage: Eukaryota; Viridiplantae; Streptophyta; Magnoliopsida; Poales; Poaceae. The record is from RNAcentral.
AUGGCAGUUGUUUUGAGAUAUCUUAGCAAGCGUGGAUUUAUCAUUGAACGGUUAGUUGGAAUUGAACAUGUGAAGGAAACAUCAGCAACUUGUCUCAAGGCUACUCUUCAAAAAUUAUUCACUGAGAUUGGACUAAGCAUAAAGCAGGUUAGAGGCCAAUGCUAUGAUGGGGCUAGUAAUAUGCGCGGUGAGUUUAAUUGCUUGAAAGCAAAGAUUAUGCAAGAGAAUAAGUCAGCGUAUUAUGUGCAUUGUUUUGCUCACCAGCUCCAAUUGGUUAUUGUGGCAGUAUCAAAGAAGCAUGAUGAUAUUGCAGAUUUUUUUUACAUGAUCUCAGUUUUAUUCAAUGUGGUUGGAGCUUCUUGCAAAAGAAAGGAUAUGAUUAGAGAGAAACAUCGAGAGGAGGUAAUAAAAGCCAUAGGUAGUGGGCAGAUUAGCACUGGCACAGGGCUAAAUCAAGAACAAACUCUUCAAAGAGCUGGGGACACACGUUGGGGCUCACACUACCGGACUCUUUCAAGUCUAGUGAAAUUGUUCCCAUCAGUUAUGUCUGUUCUGAAAUAUGUUGAGAAAGAAGGCAAAAGUGAAAAGAAAUGUCAAGCACGUGGUCUUGUAGCAUAUUUUGAGACCUUUGAUUUUGUUUUUUAUUUGCACAUGAUGUUGCAUAUAUUGGGAAAUGCAAAUACUUUGUCACAGUCUUUACAAAGGAAGGAUCAAGACAUCCUGAAUGCCAUCUCAUGUGUGAAGUGA